This 398-nucleotide ribosomal RNA is filed under the name uncultured bacterium. RNAcentral describes it as "bacterial LSU rRNA". It matches the Rfam family "Bacterial large subunit ribosomal RNA", at positions 1290 to 1793 of the family's 2925-position model. The record is from RNAcentral.
GAGAAUGUUGACAUGAGUAGCGACAAACAGGGUGAGAAACCCUGUCGCCGAAAGUCCAAGGGUUCCUGCUUAAAGCUAAUCUGAGCAGGGUAAGCCGGCCCCUAAGGCGAGGCCGAAAGGCGUAGUCGAUGGGAACCAGGUUAAUAUUCCUGGGCCAGGAGGAUGUGACGGAUCUCGAAGGUUGUCUGCCCUUAUCGGAUUGGGGUGGGCCGCUCAGAGGUUCCUGGAAAUAGCCCUCCAUCAGACCGUACCCUAAACCGACACAGGUGGACUGGUAGAGUAUACCAAGGCGCUUGAGAGAACCACGUUAAAGGAACUCGGCAAAAUGCCUCCGUAAGUUCGCGAGAAGGAGGCCCCGUCUGUAGGCAACUAUGGGCGGGGGGCGACAAACUAGGGGU